AAAAUGAAUCAAAACUUUCAACAACGGAUCUCUUGGUUCUGGCAUCGAUGAAGAACGCAGCGAAAUGCGAUAAGUAAUGUGAAUUGCAGAAUUCAGUGAAUCAUCGAAUCUUUGAACGCACAUUGCGCCCGCCAGUAUUCUGGCGGGCAUGCCUGUCCGAGCGUCAUUUCAACCCUCGAACCCCUCCGGGGGGUAGGCGUUGGGGAUCGGCCCUCCCUUAGCGGGUGGCCGUCUCCGAAAUACAGUGGCGGUCUCGCCGCAGCCUCUCCUGCGCAGUAGUUUGCACACUCUCAUCGGGAGCGCGGCGCGUCCACAGCCGUUAAACACCC
Molecule: ribosomal RNA, 329 nt
Filed under: Trichoderma harzianum
Lineage: Eukaryota; Fungi; Ascomycota; Sordariomycetes; Hypocreales; Hypocreaceae
Description: eukaryotic LSU rRNA
Rfam family: 5.8S ribosomal RNA (bases 13-166)
Source: RNAcentral